UCCCAGAUGGAGUGCUCAAUGUAGUACCUGGAUUUGGCUCAACUGCUGGUGCUGCAGUGAGCUCACACAUGGAUAUUGAUGCGGUAAUUUACAUGUCAAAAUCAAAUUUCAUAGAUGAUUCACAAACAUUUAUAUUAUCAUUCAACAAUGAUAUUACUAAAUGAGAAUUGAUUAUGAGGUUCUCCGACAGGGAACCAAACAUACGCUAACACUUUGUGCAUGUUUAGAUAUAUUGUGAGUAAAAAUCACAAUGACAGAAGAACAAUUUCCUUUAGCUUUUAUGGCUAUCUGUCGUGAUUUUGCUUCUUCACCAAGAUUUUCCAACGUGUAUCCAAAAAUACACUUAUAGCUUCUGCCUUCUAACCUUAAGUGAUUCGAUAUUUAACCUAAGAAACAAAUAUGCUAUAAGUCAAACAUUUGUAAGUACCAUGAUCUUAAAUAAGAUUUCUUAAAUUGCAUUGGUGUAUGUUUAGGUCAGCUUUACUGGUUCAACACAAACAGGGCGUGAGGUAAUGAAGGCAGCAGCUAGCAGUAACUUGAAACGAGUUUCGCUGGAAUUAGGAGGCAAAUCACCCCUCAUAAUUUUCAAUGAUGCUGAUAUAGACAAAGCUGCUGAACUUGCUCUAUACGGCAUCCUAUUAAAUAAGGUGGAAUGUUAGCUUUCAUGAAAUCAUGUAUUUUCAAACAACAUCCUCAUACUUAUAUCUAUGAUGACAAUAAUUUUAUUCCUCCUUGAUCAAAACAGGGUGAAGUUUGUGUUGCAAGUUCCCGUGUGUUCGUUCAAGAAGGGAUCUAUGAUGAAUUUGAGAAGAAAUUGGUGGAGAAGGCAAAAGCUUGGGUCGUUGGGGACCCUUUUGAUCCUAAAGUUCAACAAGGGCCUCAGGUGAGGAUAAAAUGUACAGACAAAGGGCUUGAGUUCCUUUAAAAUUUCAUACUUGUCGCGCGUGUUCUCGAAUUUUAAUCCACCGAAUAUGGUUUUUAACUGAAAACCAAACAUGCUCUAAGUUGUUAUCUGGUCUUGUAACUAAGAUCUUUGAUAGUAUUUCCUAAAUUUCUUAGUAGGCUUCUGAAGACAGAAAUAAGAUAAAUAAUCUAUAAAUUACAAUUUGUAACUUCGUUAUAAAAGUGACUAUAGAGUUUCCCACCACAUAACCAAACACGCUAAUUAAGAAUCCCGGUCUUUUGGCUAACAUUUUUAUGUUUCUUGUAGGUUGACAAGAAACAAUUUGAAAAAAUUCUUUCAUAUAUUGAGCAUGGAAAGAGAGAAGGAGCUACCCUUUUGACUGGGGGUAAAUCAGUGGGUAACAAAGGCUACUACAUUGAACCAACCAUUUUCUCCAAUGUAAAGGUGAGUUCCAAGUCCAAAAAAGGCACCAAAUUAGGCAUUUUCAGCAUAAUUAGAUAACUGACUAUUUUGUUUCACACUCUGAAAAUUUAGGAGGAUAUGCUUAUAGUACAGGAUGAAAUAUUUGGCCCUGUGAUGGCACUGAAGAAGUUUAAGUAAGUUUCUUUUAGUUAUUAUUUUGUUGUAUUAUUGUGCUUGAUUUUGAAGUGUAAGCAAGUUUCUUUUUGUUAUUAUGAACAACAGGACUGUUGAGGAAGCAAUUAAGAGUGCUAACAAUACCAGAUAUGGUUUAGCAGCUGGCAUUAUGACCAAGAACUUGGAUAUAGCAAACACAGUGUCAAGGUCCAUUCGUGCAGGCAGUGUUUGGAUCAACUGUUAUUUUGCCAUUGACAAUGAUAUUCCUUUCGGAGGGUAUAAGGCGAGUGGGUUUGGAAAAGAUUAUGGAUUGGAAGCCAUUCACAAAUACUUACAAGUUAAAUCUGUUGUAACUCCCAUUUACAAUUCUCCUUGGCUUUGAGAAUCUCAUUCGUGGAUGUGGAAAGGGACUGGACUGAUAUGGGCGGACCGAAUCACUUUACUUUGGGCUUAUCAUUAUCGUGUAACAAAUGGGCCGGGCAACCCAUGGUCCAGCCGGGCCAAAACCCAAGCUAUAAAUAAAAGAGGACCGCCCAAGCGGUGGGGAUCUUAUCAUUUCACGCAUUUUACUCACUUUGUUUACUCUCGCUUGCUCUCGAUAUUGGUUAGCCUUAGUCUGCGGUUCCAUACCGGAACAUUGGCGCCCACCGUGGGGCCUUGGAUAAUUUCCUAGGCUUCGUUUCUCAUCGCGAUGGUGACUCGAUCCGGGGCGAACGGAGAGAGGAAUCAUGUUCAACAAAAUGAUGUUCCUCCCGAUGUUCUUCAGCGGAUCAUGGACGAUCUCAAUGAACUUCGUCAACAUAAUCAGCAGUUGCAAAAUCAACUUACUGAUCUUAAUCAGACUCAGGGUUUACGAGAGGGAGAUCGAAGAAUGGCUGAGACGGUGGUGGACUUUCAACCUUUCACAGAGGAAAUAGCGAACAUUGCCGUCCCAGACAAUUUGAAGACGUUGAAGCUUGAUUCUUACUAUGGCGAUUCAGAUCCAAAGGACCAUUUAGUGUAUUUCAACACGAAAAUGGUCAUUGUAGGCGCAUCAGAUGCGUUGAAGUGCAAAAUGUUACCGUCAACUUUUAAGAAAUCGGCGAUGAUUUGGUUUACAACUCUACCGUCAAGGUCAAUCGUCAAUUUCACAGAAUUAUCUACAAAAUUCUUGUCUCAGUUUUCUACCAGUCGUGCACAAAAAGUGACUCCGGCGACAUUAUUCAACAUUCGGCAGGGAGUAAAUGAGACUUUGCAAUCUUAUAUGGGGCGUUUCAAUCAACUAUCUGUUCAUUUGGAGGAUAAGAUGCCAGAAAUUUGCAUUGCAGCCUUUGAAUUGGGUUUGAGGCCGGGCGGUCUAAACAGUAAUUUAAGCAGGAAACCGGUGGAAACAAUGGUGCACCUACGCGAAAGGGUUCAAGGAUACAUUAGGGAGGAGCAAAGUGAUCAGAUCAAGAAUAACCGCCCGAAUGCGGUGGUAACUGGGCAGAAACAGCAGUUCGAGGCGAGAAAAGGAGCGGUUACAGAUCAAUAUUCGAAGGGAUGGACCGAACGUGGCAACGCAGGGUAUAAUAAUCGUAACCGUUAUGACGGCCGAUUUGAUAACCGUUCUAAUUUCAAAAAUCGUGCUCAACCGUAUGGAGUGCGUGGGCCAGGACAUUCGAUGACGUGGACUCGGAACCAAAAUGACCGUGCAGUACCUUUGGCGGUUAAUUUGACUGAAGCUUUGCACACGUGUUUGGAGGCGAAUGUUAUUCGUUUUCCACGGCAGCCAAAGCCGUCAACGGGUUACGUGGACAAGAAGAAGUGGUGCGAGUAUCAUAGGAUUUCAGGGCAUAAUACUGAUGACUGUUUUACUUUGAAGAAGGAGAUUGAUAAAUUGAUAAAGGCUGGGUAUAUGAAGCAGCUUGAGGGGCGAAGCAAUUCAGAUGAAGCAGGAACUUCAACAAGACGAACCGAAGAUGGAAAAGAGAUUGAGGGUGGUGGUCAAGAUAGGCAAUCGGAUGGAAAAGCAAAGGGGCGAAUUCAUUCUAUUUUUGGUGGAUUUCGUGGCGGAGGAAUGACUAAUUCAGCUCGUAAGAGGUACGUUCACUCCAUUAAUGCUGUUUACUCUAACGAUUGGGGAAGUUGGGCAACCAAUCAACCCGAUAUAACGUUUACUGUGCGAGAUUUUGAGGGAGUACAGCCUCACGAAGACGAUCCAAUUGUUGUAAUGCUGAGGAUUGCUGAUUAUGAAAUUGAGAGGGUACUUCUGGAUCAAGGAAGCUCGGCGGAUUUGAUUUAUGGUGACGCUUUUGAAAAGUUGGGGCUAAAUGAAUCUGAUUUGUUGCCUUAUGAUGGUUCUUUAGUGGGUUUUUCUGGAGAAAAAGUAUUUGUUCGAGGAUAUGUGGAAUUGAAAACUGUCUUUGGAGAAGGGAAGAAUGCGGAGGCAUUUGCUAUUAAGUUUUUGGUAGUAAAAUGUACUUCACCGUACAAUGUACUCAUUGGGAGGCCAUCACUAAACAGAUUGGGGGCGAUCAUUUCUACAAGACAUUUAACGGCGAAGUAUCCAUUGAGCAAAGGAGGAGUUGGAAUUUUAAAGGCUGAUCAAAUGGUUGCUCGAAAGUGUUAUUCAGAAAGUUUUAAGCAGUAUGGGCACAUGGGUAAGAAAGCAGUGAAAGAGGGGCAUCGAGUCUAUGAGGUGGAUUUAGAACAGUCAGAAAUUAUUUUGGAUCCUCGAGAAGGAUUCAGUGAGUACAAGAUGAAAUCAGAAGAGGAAACUAAGGCGAUCCAAAUUGGUGAGCGAAACUUGAAAGUUGGUGUCAAUUUAACUACAAGUCAGGAAAACAGGUUGGUAAAAUUAUUAUCUGAGAAUAUGGAUUUGUUUGCAUGGAGUGCAAGAGAUUUACCAGGAAUCGAUCCGGAAUUUAUAUGUCACAAAUUGGCUUUAAAUCCCGGGGUGAAACCUAUUGUUCAGUUUAAAAGAAAGAUGGGCGAAGAAAAGGCAGAGGCUGUAAAGGUGGAAACAAAUAAGUUACUGGAAGCUGGAUUCAUUAGGGAAGUAAAGUAUCCAACUUGGUUGGCGAAUGUUGUUAUGGUGAAGAAGGCUAAUGGCAAGUGGCGAAUGUGCACAGAUUAUACAGAUUUGAACAAGCACUGUCCUAAGGAUUCUUAUCCUUUACCGAAUAUUGAUAAGCUUGUGGAUAGGGCAUCUGGAUUCGGAAUGCUUAGCCUCAUGGAUGCAUACUCAGGAUAUCAUCAAAUAAGAAUGUAUCAGCCUGACGAGGAGAAAACAGCUUUCAUGACAAAUCAGGCGAACUAUUGCUAUCAGACUAUGCCGUUUGGGCUGAAGAAUGCGGGAGCAACAUACCAAAGGUUGAUGGAUAAGGUGUUUGACAAGCAGGUGGGGCGGAACAUGGAGAUUUAUGUAGACGACAUGGUGGUCAAGUCAGAGGAAAUGGUGGCGCAUUGUUCUGAUCUCGAAGAAGCUUUUGGCGAACUAAGAAAGCAUAACAUGAGACUUAAUCCGGAAAAGUGUUCGUUUGGAAUUCAAAGCGGAAAGUUUUUGGGUUUCAUGAUCACGAGGAGAGGAAUUGAGGCGAACCCUGAUAAGUGUAAGGCGAUACUCGAUAUGCAGAGUCCAACCUCAGUUAAAGAUGUGCAGAAGUUAACAGGAAGAAUAACAGCUUUAUCCAGGUUUCUUCCGUGUUCUGGGGAAAAAUCAGCACCAUUUUUUCAAUGCUUAAGGAAGAACAAAACUUUUCAGUGGACUGAAGAAUGUGAGAGGGCGUUCCAAAGUUUGAAGGAUCAUUUAUCCAAGCCACCAAUUUUAGCCAAACCAGUUCCAGGUAUUUCAUUAUCAAUGUUUAUUUCCAUCUCUGAUAAUGCAGUUAGUUCAGUUUUGUUGCAAGAAAAUAAGGAUGAUAUGAGGAUCAUAUAUUUUGUGAGUCAUGCUCUUCAAGGAGCUGAAAUUAGAUACCAAAAAAUUGAAAAGGCUGCAUUAGCUCUAAUCAUAUCCGCCAGGAAAUUAAGACCUUAUUUCCAAGGCUUUCCAAUUGUGGUAAAAACAGAUUUGCCACUUCGCCAAGUUUUGCAAAAGCCUGAUCUGGCUGGACGAAUGGUUUCCUGGGCUGUUGAAUUGUCAGAAUUUGAAAUCACUUUUGACAGGAAAGGUCUGGUUAAAGCACAGGUAUUGGUGGAUUUUGUUAAUGAAAUGUCUUCCAGUGAGAAAAAUAUGGAAGUUGGCGAAUGGAGUUUGUCUGUAGAUGGUUCGUCUAAUGUCAAGGGAAGUGGAGCUGGAAUAAUCUUAGAAGGGCCAGGUGGCGUGACAAUUGAGCAGUCACUCAAGUUUGACUUUAAAGCAAGCAAUAAUCAGGCAGAGUAUGAAGCUAUAAUUGCAGGUUUGAAGUUGGCGAUCGAGAUGGGGGUCAAGAGCAUAAUGAUUAAAACAGAUUCUCAGAUAGUUUCCAUGCAAAUUCAGGGUGAAUAUCAGGCGAGGGACGCACAGCUGGCUAAGUAUUUAUUGAAAGCUCAGGGAUUGAUAAAGCAGAUAGGCACAGUGCAGGUCAAUUAUGUUCCGCGAGAGGAGAAUACAAGGGCGGAUAUUCUAUCAAAGUUAGCAAGCACCAAGAAGCCGGGAAACAAUAAGUCAGUUAUCCAGGAAGUUUUAAGUAGCCCAAGUAUCGAAGAAGAUGAGACAAUGAUGGUGUUAACUUUAGCGAAUUCAGAUUGGAUGGGGCGUAUCAAACAGUGUUUGGAGGCAGAAGGCUCUAAUGUGUUGACAUUCUCUAAGGAUCAAAUUCGCGAGGCAAGUCGUUACACAUUGUUGGGCGAUCAAUUGUACAGAAGAGGGAUUGAAGUUCCUUUAUUGAGAUGUGUCUCUAAGGAUGAGGCGGAAAGAAUCAUGUUUGAAGUUCACGAAGGUGUGUGUGCAAGUCAUGUAGGGGGAAGAUCUUUGGCGGCGAAAGUGCUCAGGGCAGGGUUCUAUUGGCCAACUUUACGAGGGGAUUGUAUGGAAUAUGUGAAGAAGUGUGGUAAAUGUCAAAUUUAUGCAGAUUUACAUAAGGCGCCGCCUGAGACUCUUAGCUCAAUGAGUUCAUCGUGGCAAUUUGCAAUGUGGGGAGUAGAUAUUCUGGGACCGUUCACUCCAGCAGGUUCUCAAAUCAGAUUUAUUUUGGUGGCGGUGGACUAUUUUACUAAGUGGAUUGAGGCGGAAUCAAUGGCGAAAAUAACAGCAGAAAAAGUCAAAAAGUUUUAUUGGAGAAAAUUGGUUUGCAGAUUUGGCGUUCCAGCAACUAUCGUCUCAGACAAUGGAACACAGUUUACAAGCAGGAGUGUGAAGGAUUUUUGUGCAGGAAUGGGAAUUGAGAUGCGUUUCGCCUCAGUUGAGCACCCUCAGACAAAUGGACAAGUGGAGUCAGCGAAUAAAGUCAUUCUCAAUGGAAUUAGAAAGCGUCUAAGCGAAGCUAGGGGAUUAUGGGCUGAAGAGUUAAUCACGGUCAUUUGGGCGUACAAUACUACUCCUCAAUCAACUACUGGCGAAUCACCUUUUAAGUUGACUUACGGGGUAGAUGCAAUGAUACCAGCAGAAUUACAAGAUGUAACUUUCAGGGUGGCAACUUAUAAUGAAGAGCAGAACGAUAUGAAUAGAGUGGUUGAUCUCAAUUUAGCAGAGGAAACGCAAGCAGAGGUUCGUUUGAGGCAGGCAAUGGUAAAACAGAGGUCGGAAAGGCGAUACAAUUCUAGAGUGGUUCCGAGGCAAAUGAGAGUUGGUGAUUUGGUUCUGCGUAGGAAGGCAAAGGGGCCUGAUGAUUCGAAGUUAUCACCUAAUUGGGAAGGACCUUACAGGAUUCUGCGAGAGCUUGGUCAAGGGGCGUAUCAUUUGGAGGAGUUAUCGAGGCGAAGGGUCCCAAGGGCUUGGAAUGCACAGCAUCUCCGUUAUUAUUACAGUUGAAGUGCAGGGUGGUUCGUUCGGUUUGUUUUGUGUUGUACAGUUUGUUUCAGUGUAUGUUUGUCCAAGACUGUGUUUCGUUGUUUCAGUUUGUGUGUGUUGAAGUCUACGUUUAUUGGUUGUAUCGUUUAAAACUAUGUUUGUUGUGUAAGACUAGAUUUGAUGCACUCUUUUCUCUACCCCAGGCGGGAGAGUUUUUAACGAGGCAUCAAUUAUUAAUGAAUAACAGGUGUGCACUAUUUUCUCUACCCCAGGCGGGAGAGUUUUUAACGAGGCAUAACCUUUUUAAAAUGAUCAAGGGCUUAUCAUUUUACUUAUUUCUUUUACCCAUAGCGGAAACUUAUCAACUAAGGUCUAUCAAUUGGGCGACGUCAGACAAUUGAGAAAAAAGUAAGUCUCUUAAAACAAGAGCAUUCGGCCACGAAUUCAUAAGCACAGUCUUAAAUUGGAUUUAAGCUUGUCCAAACUAAGCACAAGUCUCCACGCGAGCAUACUAAUGAAAUCAAAUAUGUUGACUUUGAUUUCCAUGAGUAACUAUGUCAAAAAUGAAAAAUUUGACUAAGUUAUGUACACAAAGGCCUUAUGAUUCCAAAGUAGUUGAUUAAGUUUAAACUUUAGCAUAUUUCAUUAUGUACGGCAAAAUGUGGGAAUAACGUAUUCAACUAAACGACGAAGGCGGAUCAAAUUUGGUGAAAGGUUAGUAAAAAUUAUUCAUGUUAAGUUAUACUUUGAGAUUACUGAUUGAAAGGUUAGUAAAGCGCGGUAUUAUUAAUUAUAUUAAUUUGUCUAAUUGAUCUAGUUGUUGUUGGAUGAAUUAUGUUAUUGAGAUCGAAAGAAUAACUUAAUGGUUUCUAUGUUAAGUUAAGAUGUGAUGUCUUCAUAGAAUAGGAAUAGGAACAAAAACAUAUUAAGUGUUGGAAACAUGUUAUUAAGUGUUGAAGUAAUUUAGACGGGAGGCAGAACCAUUAGAAUUAUGCAAUUUGAGAGUUGAUAUAUAGAAAACACAUCAUAUUAAUAGUGCUUGAUAAACAUUACAUAAUUAUCUUAGGAUAAACCGUGGAGCUAAUUGCUCAACACUUACAGAGAUAAAGAUAAAACAUAGCAGAUUUAACUAACUUAGAAAAUAAAAAAAAAAGAAGACUAAAGGAUAAUUCAUGUAGUACAUAUGCUUGAACAGGGGUGGAACUAAUGAUUUUCUCCUUCGCCUUCAUUGUUGUUGGCGUUCCCAUCUUCUUCAUUUUUAUCUCCUUCAUAUUCUUCUUCUUCUUCCUCAUCGCCAGUGUCAGGGUUGAUCAACUUGCCAUCAACAAUCCUGGCAUAAGGAUUGGAACCGGCAAGGUUGAUAGAAACUUGAGGAUUUAAGAAAAGAAUUUGCUCUUUGGCUUUUGAAAAUCCAGCUUCCAACUGAUCAAGGAUGGAGUUUUUUAGUUCAGAAAUUUCAGAAUGUAACUUAGAGUUUUCAUUCUUCAAUUCAGAGUUGGCAGAAUUGAGUUCAGUGAUUUCUGCUUGGGAUUUCACAAGUUCUCCUUCCUUAACUUUCUGGGUGGCGCUCAAAGCUUCAGCAUGUUUCUUCAAGCGCUCAUUUUCCAGGGCCAAAUCUGCGGCCUUCUUCUCACUUACUUUAUUGGAGGAAUCCAAUAAUUUCAUCGUAGCCUUCAUCUUUAGGAUCUCUCUUUCUUUUUCUUCAAGUUGUUUGGCGGAAUUAAUCCCGUCAAAACCAGCGGUCUCCAGGUCGACCAUUUUUGAAAUAGCCGCAAUUUCCAGUCCUUUUGUCAUGAUGGCUUGACAAGCUUCCUUUAGCCCAAUCCUUUUGAUCUUUUCCUGAUCCGCCUUGAACACCAAAUUGGUUUCCACCAAUGCGUUGAAGUCAAUCUUUGAAUCCCAUAGUGAAGUUACCUCUUCAGAAGUAAGUUCUUCGAAUUCCUUCAGCACGCUUUUCCAUGUCGGGGGCGGAGCGCUUGAAGACCCACUUUGAUGCGCCAAAUGUUGAGGGUUAUUCUUCAUCAUAAAUUUCUCCAUUGAAGGUUGAGAUGCGUCCUUUCCUUUGGUUGGUUCCGGAGUUUCAUUCCUUUUCUUUUUCUUUUGAGGGCGAUUAGAUUCAGUGCCUGAAUGACUAGCAUCGGCAUCAAUCAAAGUCUUCGCCGGGUUUCUUUUUUCUCUUGCAGCUUGUUGUUCACGACGGAAGCGUAGGAUAUCAUCAUCAGAAAGGCGAGUCAUUUUCGCUGAAACAGAAAAGAAAAGUUAGAUACAGCCAACACUUGAAAUACAAAGAUACUGAAAUUCAAGAGUCAUACCCACAUAUUCACCCAAUUUGUUUUCAUAAUGGGCAUUUAGAAAUUCAGUGAGGUUCAAAUCAAUGCUAGAUAGAAAGGUGCAAUCUACCAUUUCUUCAGGGGUAAGGGAAUCAUCAGGAAGUUUGAUGAUAGCUUCAUAACGAGCGGUCCAGUAGAAGGGGAACUUUGGGCUUCCGUCAUUGAAGUAAAAGACGUCUUUGCAUUUUUCAGAUUCGUUUAGCCUAAAAAAUUUCCCUUUGAAUUGUUUGUAAUGGCUUCUAAACAAGGUAAAUAGACCUUUUCCCCUGGCGGCGGCUAAGGAAAGAUAUUCACCUUUAAUGCUUCUACUACUGGUUUCAAAAAAGUAGAAAAAUCUAUUGCUCGUGGGUUCAAUACCUAACAGUUGACACAAAAGUUCAAACGCCCUGAGGUAUGCCCAACUAUUACAGUGAAGUUGUGUCGGAGAAACAUUUAGUAAAGUCAAAACGGUGCAGGUAAAAUCUGAGAGGGGGAGUUUAUACUUUAGGUCAGAGAAAAUGUUUUCAAAGAAGUAGGUGUGGUUUUUUCCGUUAGGGUCAGGAGCCCCAAAGCAACAAGGUUCAGUAGGCGAGCAGGGAACUAUGUCAAGGUACACAUCUUGGCCGUCAGAACGAAAGGUAUUUUCAGUGAUUAAAUCCAUUACAGUUUUAACAUUGCAGAAUUUAGUAAACCUAGUUUUGACUUUGCUAGUAACCCACAUAUCAACUGCAAGGGUAGAAGUUUUAGAAGCUUUAGAGACUUUACGGGUGCGUUUUGCAUCCAUUUUGAAAAGAAUUCCUGAAAUUGUAAAGGAUUCAGGGGUUAUGACAUGUAGCGGGGUACAAUUUGAGUUAUAGUUGUGAAGGAGAGUAGUUUUUAAGAAUGAUUUGGGUAAAACAAGAAGCUGAAGAGGGAAAGAUUUUACAUGAAGGGUUUAGUGUAGAAAGACGAAAAAAUUGCACAAGCAGGUUGAGUGAGGAGUGCUUACCAGGAAAAGGAUCUGAUGAACUUGGCUAAUUUGGGGGAGUUCUGGCAAUGUUGGAGAACACUUGCAAGUAAAUGCAGGAAACUUUACGAGUACACGAGGUUAGUAAAAUUUUUGAAAGAGAAGAGUGAAGUAGUUUGAGGUAAAAAAUGAUUGCUAUAUAUAGAGAAACGGUGGAAGAUGAAGAGAUGAGUUAGAAAGGUGUGGUUAAAGGCACUUAAGGUAAAUGAUGAGCAAACGCGUGGUUUGCGUGAAUCCACGCGUUCAUUCAAGCCACACAUUCAAAUUCAUCAAGGCGGUGAAUCAGCGCGCCAUAAAGAGACGACGUUUGGCAGAAAGGUAGCGAUUGAAUGAAGAGUGACGUCAGUUAAUAGGUGAAUGCGUCGUUUCGAGGAAGUCGAGUCUUUUCAGAGAAGAGUUACUCUAUGAGUGGGUUUUAAAUGCAUAUCUUAAUUAAUGUGAGUAGCAUAGCUUAGGUAGGCCUUAUGCAUUACAAGUUUCAAGAUAUCUGUGGAAUAUUUGUGAUGAUUACAGCAGGUACAAAAAUCCGGAAGGGGAUUGAUUUGGUGCACAGUGAUUGAGGUGAUGGGCAAAGCGUCAUUUAGACAUCACGUGUCACAUAGAAAGAAUUAUUUUAUAAUGAUUAGCCUAGUAAAUUUUUACUUUGUUGUUAGCCUUAUUUCAUUGAAGCCUGCGUGCUCAUAAAUUGGUUCACAUUGUACACGGGCGUACCAGAAGUUGUGGGCCUCAAUAAGACACUUUCGUUUUAGUUCUAAAACAUCAGUGUCUUGUGGGCCUGUGGACUGAUAUGGGCGGACCGAAUCACUUUACUUUGGGCUUAUCACUAUCGUGUAACAAAUGGGCCGGGCAACCCAUGGUCCAGCCGGGCCAAAACCCAAGCUAUAAAUAAAAGAGGACCGCCCAAGCGGUGGGGAUCUUAUCAUUUCACGCAUUUUACUCACUUUGUUUACUCUCGCUUGCUCUCGAUAUUGGUUAGCCUUAGUCUGCGGUUCCAUACCGGAACAGGGACAUAUGUUAAUUGGCUAGUAUGUUUUUAAUUGCUCUAUGAAUAUGAUCAUAAGAGAUUAAUAAAGUAAGGAACUUUUAUUAACAUUGCAUGAUUUAAAAUAUUUGUUAUUUUAUGAAAUGUGCUAGCAAAAUGCACUGUAUACUUGUAAUUAGUUUAAAGAGUAAAAUACUACGCAUUAGAAGAAGAAAUUUAAGAAUUGGUAUUGAGUCACCUCUCAUGUAAAAACACGGCAAAAAUUCAUUUAGUGAGCUUCGUCGACAGGAUAAUUUCGUAAUCUGCAGUAAUUUAAAUAACUUUAUAUGUACACAUACAUAAUUUAUCUUCUAUCUCAUUUUCGGUUCGGAUGAGGAUCCUCUAUAGUACAACCAACUACAGGGGAUGCAGUUCAUGAUCUGACCAUUAAAAAUUAUUUUAAAUUUUUAUUUAUCAACAUUUUGUUUAUUCCAAAACAAUUUUCAGUGGUGAAGAUCUCUGCAGUUACAACUUACAAAUGUAGAAGAUCGUAAUCUCAUUUUCACGCCCUUUUCUUUUUUCCUAUUAUAUCCAAAUUUAUAUCUUACAAGUUACAACCUCUCUUUCUUCUAUUACUUUCUCUUUACCUAUUAUAUAUACACAAUUUAUCUCCCAAUUUUAUACGCAUGUAGUUUCUCGAUUUAGUUUCUUCAAUUUCACUUCCCUUUGUAGCGUGAACGUAUUAUUUUCGAUAAUAAAAUGCAACAUUCACCAAAUACCAUUUGCUAAUGCAUUUCAUACUCAGCUAUUUGUCUAUCUCUUAUUUGACACUUCACUUUGCCAGUACCAACUCUAAUUUUGUAAUGUAAUAAUAGACCUUUAAUUAUAUAUACCAACACAUGUUGGCUCAAUUGCAAGUAAAUUUCCCAUUAAAAAAUUGUGUUUGACUCCCGUUGUUGAUGUUAGACUAUAUUGAUGUACGUCUUUGUGCGAUUUAUAAGCAUCUCUAUAAAUAAAUUAUGAUCUCAGAUACACGCUCUGACCUGUAGUAAUGAUUAGAGACCAAACCACCUCAGACAUUUAACUAUAUUUUAAAUAACAUAUUACAUGUUAAUAUACGAUAGUGUGACAUAAUACUAAUCAAUUUUUUAAUUUGUGUAUAAGUUUAACCUUAGCCUGUUUUAUAAUAAUUUUUAAUUCAAUAUGGUCGGAUAAAAAUAAUUUUUAGUAAGUUGAGUGUGAAGGCUAUAGGCAUAUGAUAUCAAUCAUUGUAUCCCACAUUUAUUUAAUGAUGAUAAAGGUUUUAAUUAUUGAUUACUGAACUAAUGAUUGUAACUUUUGAUGUUCCACUUACCCCACUGUCAAUCCAUAUUUGCUUUUGUCCCUCUAUAUAAUCAAUCGUGUUCCCAGAUUCCUGAAACCAAAUCAACCUUCUCUUUUCUCUACAUUGAUCGUUGUUAACAAAAUACACAGAUGAGUACUGAUCUCUCUAGCUCCAAUAAUGGCCACGACACCACAUUUGUCAAGAUACCCACCAUCAAGUUUACAAAGCUCUUCAUCAAUGGAGAAUUUGUUGAUUCCAUAUCAGGUUCUUGACUCUACCACCCUCUUUCUAUUUUUGUUCCGGCACUAGUUUUCUCUGUGUUACUCCCUUUACCCCUUUCAUGAAUUCUUUCUAGCUUAUUUCUUUGACUUUGAGUACAUUUUCAAUGUUAAAAUGAAACAUGAGACAAUGUUAAGUGCAUGUUUGGUUUUCAGUUAGGAAGUCUGUUUGAAGCAUUGAAAUUCGAGAUCACGAUUUCCAAUGCAAAUUCAGCCAACGGAAUGCACUUAUUGGGUUGAGUGAAUGUGCUUUCACAUUCACCCAACUGAAAACCAAACAGGCUCUAAUUAGGAAGUAAUGAAGUUCUACGAGUUUGCUUUUAAUUUUCAGUGCAUCAUUCAAAGUUACACAAGUUGUCAUUUUACAAAGACAUUAUUUCUAAUUUUAAUUUUAACUAAAAUAUGGUUCAAUUUUUUUUAACUAAAAUAAUAAAUCAAGUAACCUGUUUUUCGAUGUAACAAAAAAAAUAAAUCAAGUAACCGUUUAAGCUUAUCUUUUUUUUUGAUACAAGCAACCAAAAAAGCAUUAAACAAGUUUUACACCAAAUGUGCGUCAAAUUUAAACUCUUAAAAAAACUCAUAUCAAAAUGAGAAAAAGCAUGAAUGUCGUUUUCUAUAAAUAAUUUAAUUACUAUCCACUGAAAAUAUAAAACAGUUUUACACGAUCAUCUAACACGACUAACAUUUUUUUAUUAUUAAAAGGAGCUACAUUUGAGACAAUAGAUCCUAGAACUGAGGAGGUGACGGCGAGAGUCUGCAAGGGAGCUAAAGAAGACAUCGAUGCUGCUGUUAAAGCGGCGCGUGAGGUGUUUGACCAUGGUCCAUGGCCUCGCUUGCCCGGCACUGUACGUUAUUCUUUUGCUUUCGUAUCUUUUUUAAUUUCAUUAUUCAUUUUCAUCAUGUUGUGGGAGUUUUUCUUUUCACUUCAAUUAAUUUAUAAUUUAUAAUUAAACUAGCCUGUCUUUUUGUUUAUCAUUUAUACUGUCAUACUGAAUACCUAUAUCUAUUAUUAAUAUCUAAUUCACUAAUAAUCAAUAUGGUAAUAUAUCUUGAGCUGAUGAUUAUAGCGGCCACCCUUGACACGGCCUGUAAUAUUGUUGGUGACAUGUAUUUGUUUGGAGAAUGGAUGCCCCAUUAUUUAACUAAAAAAAUUAACAACAGGUAUAAUGUAUACAUUACAUGCAAUAUUGUGAUUGAUUAAUAGGAAAAUAUUAAUACUUGACAUGUUAUGGUGAUCAGGGAAGAGCAAAACUUUUGAUGAAAUGGGCAGACCUAAUUGAACAAAAUGCAGAAGAAAUAGCAGCAUUAGAAGCGAUUGAUGGUGGCAGGCUGUACCAUUUUGCUAAGAAUUUUGAAAUUUCUGCAUCAGCAAGCACCCUGCGUUACUAUGCAGGUGCUGCUGAUAAAAUUCAUGGUGAGGUGUUCAAAACGUCCGGUGAGUUCCACGCUUAUACACUGUUGGAACGAAUUGGUGUUGUGGGGCACAUUAUUCCCUGGAAUGCCCCCACUGCCUUGUUCUUCACCAAGGUUAGCCCUUCCUUAGCUGCAGGGUGCACCAUGGUCCUCAAGCCUGCUGAACAAACACCUCUCACUGCUUUGUUUUGUGCUCAUUUGGCUAAACUGGUACUGAAUUAUAUAUGUGAUCAAAUGGUUCAUUUCUUCUUAUCAAACAUUGAGUAACUGCCUAAUUUCGUCCUUGAAAGUGUAAAUGUCAAGCAAGAUAGUCCAUAGAAGAAGGAAAUAUCCUCCGCAAUCCCUGAUUGUGUCAAAUGUCGGAGAAUCUAGUCGCGCUACAGAGACUAACUUUACCAAUGUUUUAUAAAAACAAAAAGACUAAAUUGAUCGACAUUCAACACAAUCAAGGACUAUGAGAGUAUUUCCUUUAGGGACGAAAUUGAGGAUUCACUCAUCAGACAUGGGUCUCUUGAUGCUAAAUGCUAAUGUGAUCAGAAUUCCUGUUUUCUUAAAGGCUGGAAUCCCAAAUGGAGUGCUCAAUGUAGUACCCGGAUUUGGCUCAACUGCCGGUGCUGCAAUAAGCUCACACAUGGACAUAGAUAAGGCAAGUUACAUGUCUUACAUUUGUAACUAAAAUGUUCUUAAUCAGGAUUAGAAUCCUCUCAUGUUAAGAGUUCACAUGAUAGUGUCAUGUUGAAAUUUAGUCUCUGCCUAUUAUAUAAAUAUUCAUAGCUCCCCACCUAUUAAAUGUUUAUCAAGAGAGAUAUUAACACAAUUCAAGAUCAUGUUAUGUGACAUAAGAGAUGACAUAAGAGGAUCAGCUUCUCUUUUCUGAUCAGAAUCAAUUCUAAACUCCAAAAGCUACCCACAAAAGCAUCUUCCCACAAUUGAUUCUGGCUUCAAAAUCAACUGUGAAAGAAUUUCCAAACAUGCACUCGAUGAAACUGCUAAAAUUUCCUUGAUUGUGUGUGUACCUGCAGGUCAGCUUCACUGGUUCAGUUGAAUCGGGUCGUAAAGUAAUGCAGGCUGCAGCUUUGAGUAAUUUGAAACCAGUUUCACUUGAAUUAGGAGGCAAGUCACCUCUCAUUAUUUUCAAAGAUGCUGAUAUAGACAAAGCUGCUGAUCUAGCUCUCAUAGGAAUCUUGUAUAACAAGGUGAAAUUACCUUCAGGAACUACAUUUUUUCUUAGAGCAUCCAAUUAUAUCUCUACCAAGCCAACAUUUUAUUUAUUGGUUUGUGAUAACUUCAGGGAGAAGUUUGUGUCGCAAGUUCCCGCGUGUUCAUUCAGGAAGGGAUCUAUGAUGAAUUUGAGAAGAAGUUGGUGGAGAAGGCAAAAGCUUGGGUCCUUGGGGACCCAUUUGAUCCUAAAACUCAGCAAGGACCUCAAGUAAGGACAUUAUAUAGUAUUAGUAGCAGUGUUUUAUGUAUACUAUUCUAAAAUAUGUUUGGUUGUUUCUUUUGUAGUAGUAAUUGUGUGUUUUGUUGCACAUUUGGGGGUGGUUCUAUAAAUGUUUGACAAUCGACUUAGAGAAUUGAUUUUUGUCCCAAAAUUAAUUUUGCGGAGAAGCUAGGGAGAGUAGCUUAUGCGGUUGUGAGAUUUCACAGCUGGAUUUCAUAACAUUGCCAUCACUUUUCCCAUUAACAUACCCAAACAUAAAUCAAAUCAUUUCCAACUCACUUUAACCACAAUCAAUUUUUCCAAAAUCAAUUCUAUCUAAAUUCAAAUCAGAUAGGUUGAUCCAAACAUGCCAAUUAUUAUAGUUCAAAUGUUAACAUAAGAGUUUUAUAUUGUAGGCUGACAGGAACAAUUUUGAAAAAGUUCUAUCCUAUAUUGAACAUGGAAAGAGAGAAGGAGCCACCCUCUUAACAGGAGGCAAAGCAGUGGGCAGCAAGGGAUACUACAUUGAACCUACAAUUUUCUCCAAUGUAAAGGUGAUCAAUUUAAGUUCUAACUCCAUCAAAGUAUAAAACUGGGUAUCUUCAACAUAGUUUGAUAAUUAACCAUCAAGUUUUUUCUUUUUGUCAUAAUAAAAAUUUAACAACCUAUUUAGGAGGACAUGCUUAUAGCACAGGAUGAAAUAUUUGGCCCUGUCAUGGUACUGAUGAAGUUUAAGUAAGUUCUAGUUUAAAUUUAUAUUUAUUCUUGUUGUUUUGGUACCAAAAAUAAGUUUGUGAGCAUGUUCAUGAUUUGAUGGAUUGAAGCACAUAUGAACAGGACUAUUGAGGAAGCAAUUAAGAGUGCCAACAAUACCAAAUAUGGCUUAGCAGCUGGCAUUGUGACCAAGAACUUGGAUACUGCAAACACUGUAUCGAGGUCCAUCCGUGCAGGCAUUGUUUGGAUCAACUGCUACUUGACCUUAGACAGUGACAUUCCUUUUGGAGGAUACAAGAUGAGCGGAUUUGGAAAAGAUUUGGGAUUGGACGCCCUUCACAAGUACUUGCAAGUUAAAUCUGUUGUCACACCUAUUUACAAUUCUCCUUGGCUCUAAACGUCUCAUGAGUAUAUUCAAAGAAAAAAGAGGGUUUGCAUUCAAUUUACAAUCUUGUAGAUGUGAGUGUGAUGGGAAGGAAGAAGAUGUGUGACUAGCCAUGCCAUAAAAAUAAUAGAAGAUGGAGUAAGAUGUAAAAUGGGUGUUAAGAAAAUUGUGAGAAAACAAGGCAUAUGUACUAUGUAUCCAUUUUUUUCCAUUGUGUAUUUUCAGCUUUGAUUCAUUCACACCAUUCAUUCUCUUUUAUCUCAUUUCCACUCAUUUUUUCUUCUUAUCUCUUACAUCUUUUCCUAUGACGUCACCUAUCAUAUCCCUAAUUUCUCUCUUUUUUCUUCCUUUCUCUAUUUGGGUGUGAGUGUGAUAUUGGUGCGAACAUAAACUUAUCCAUGUAUUUUUGUUAUUUUGCCAAUUUUAUACAAAAGUAUAGUUAAAUUUAUGAAACAUCAUGAACAUAAUUAUAUAUAAUGAAUAAUCAAAUAUAAUAGCAUAUGAUUACAUGAUUUUAGCACACCAAACAUAAAAGAAAAUUUAAAAAAGGAUGAUGAUAUACCUCUUAUAUCCAUUGAUACUUGACUUGAUUUUGAAAGCCUUUAAUCAACUUGGAUAUCUUUCGAUUGAAGGAUAUGAUCUUCCUUCCACUCUGCUAAAUACAGUGAUCAUACUCUGCAGUUGUCUUCUCAGUCUCAAGGCCUAAAGCACCAUAGUAUCCCUUGCCCCCAUGUGUUAUACCUGGAUCAUCAGUAUCAGAAACUUAAGCUAUUUCCAUAAACACUUCAAUAAUCCAAACCAAGUACCAAAAAAAAGAGACCAGAAACAACAUAUAAAUGGGCCAAAUCACUUAACCUGACAGUGUCCUCCCCAAAAUUGUUGAGACAGAGAAGAAUACCUUCCUCCCUAAGCCAAGGAAACGCCACAGACAGAAGUGGAGGGGGCG
Molecule: long non-coding RNA, 18126 nt
Filed under: Lotus japonicus
Lineage: Eukaryota; Viridiplantae; Streptophyta; Magnoliopsida; Fabales; Fabaceae
Description: long non-coding RNA (LJAP_LNC001950)
Source: RNAcentral